AUAUCAAUAAGCGGAGGAGAAGAAAUUAACUAAGAUUGCCCUAGUAACGGCGAGUGAAGCGGCAAGAGCCCAAACUGGAAAUCUUGUACACCCCGUGUGCACGAAUUGUAAUCUAGAGGAUGCUUACUCACCGGGCGGUGGCGCAGAAGUGCCCUCGAACGGGCCGCCAGAGAGGGUGACAGCCCCGUAUGUGGUGCCGCUGCCUAACGAGUGGGUGUUCAAAGAGUCGGGUUGUUUUGUACUACAGCCCUAAGUGGGAGAUAAACUUCUUCUAAGGCUAAAUAUAUAUGGGAGACCGAUAGCGCACAAGUA
RNAcentral lists this ribosomal RNA (312 nucleotides) under uncultured eukaryote. RNAcentral describes it as "partial large subunit ribosomal RNA". It matches the Rfam family "Eukaryotic large subunit ribosomal RNA", at positions 40 to 350 of the family's 3401-position model. The record is from RNAcentral.